This 994-nucleotide ribosomal RNA is filed under the name Plasmodium inui. RNAcentral's name for it is "SSU rRNA". It matches the Rfam family "Eukaryotic small subunit ribosomal RNA", at positions 162 to 1081 of the family's 1831-position model. Lineage: Eukaryota; Apicomplexa; Aconoidasida; Haemosporida; Plasmodiidae. The record is from RNAcentral.
AGCUAAUACUUGCUUUAGCACUCUUGAUUAAGUUCUUGAGUGUGUACUUGUUAAGCCUUUUAAGAAAAAAGUUAUUAACUUAAGGAAUUAUAACAAAGAAGCAACACGUAAAUGGAUUUUCCAUUUUUUAGUGUGUAUCAAUCGAGUUUCUGACCUAUCAGCUUUUGAUGUUAGGGUAUUGGCCUAACAUGGCUAUGACGGGUAACGGGGAAUUAGAGUUCGAUUCCGGAGAGGGAGCCUGAGAAAUAGCUACCACAUCUAAGGAAGGCAGCAGGCGCGUAAAUUACCCAAUUCUAAAGAAGAGAGGUAGUGACAAGAAAUAACAAUACAAGGCCAAUCUGGCUUUGUAAUUGGAAUGAUGGGAAUUUAAAACCUUCCCAAAACUCAAUUGGAGGGCAAGUCUGGUGCCAGCAGCCGCGGUAAUUCCAGCUCCAAUAGCGUAUAUUAAAAUUGUUGCAGUUAAAACGCUCGUAGUUGAAUUUCAAAGAAUCGAUAUUUUAAGUAGCACUUUGUAGAUUAAUCCACAUAACUGAUACUACGUAUCGACUUUGUGCGCAUUUUUCUACUUAUGUGUUCUUUUAAUUAAAAUGAUUCUUUUUAAGAUCUUUCUUUUUUGCUUCGGCAUUUUAGGAGAUCUUGUUACUUUGAGUAAAUUAGAGUGUUCAAAGCAAACAGAUUAUAGCAUCUUUAUGCGUUUGAAUACUACAGCAUGGAAUAACAAAAUUGAACAAGUCAGAAUUUUGUUCUUUUUUCUUAUUUUGGCUUAGUUACGAUUAAUAGGAGUAGCUUGGGGGCAUUUGUAUUUAGAUGUCAGAGGUGAAAUUCUUAGAUUUUCUGGAGACAAACAACUGCGAAAGCAUUUGCCUAAAAUACUUCCAUUAAUCAAGAACGAAAGUUAAGGGAGUGAAGACGAUCAGAUACCGUCGUAAUCUUAACCAUAAACUAUGCCGACUAGGCUUUGGAUGAAAGAUUUUAAAAUAAGAGUUUUUUCUCU